AAACAUGUCUUUUUGAAAAUAAUUUAAAGUUUAAUCUGCCCACUGAUNAAAUUAUUAAAGGGCUGCAGUAUUUUGACUGUACAAAGGUAGCAUAAUCAUUAGUCUCUUAAUUGGUGACUUGUAUGAAAGAUUGGAUGAAAUAUAUACUGUCUCUAUUUAAUUUAUAAAAUUUAAUUUUUUAGUAAAAAAGCUAAAAUGAAUUUAAAAGACGAGAAGACCCUAUAGAGUUUGAUAAUUUAUUUAAUUAUUAUUAAUAUAUAAAUUUUAAAAUUAAAAUUAAAUAAAUUAUUUUGUUGGGGUGAUAGAAAAAUUAAAUUAACUUUUUUUUUAUUUUAUACAUUAAUUUAUGAAUGAAUGAUCCAUUAAUAAUGAUUAAAAGAAAAAAUUACCUUAGGGAUAACAGCGUAAUUUUUUUUUUUAGUUCAAAUAGGAAAAAAAGUUUGCGACCUCGAUGUUGGAUUAAGAUAAAAUUUAAAUGCAAAAGUUUAAAAUUUUGAUCUGUUCGAUCAUUAAAAUCUUA
Molecule: ribosomal RNA, 520 nt
Filed under: Papilio bianor bianor
Lineage: Eukaryota; Metazoa; Arthropoda; Insecta; Lepidoptera; Papilionidae
Description: partial 16S ribosomal RNA
Source: RNAcentral